RNAcentral lists this ribosomal RNA (253 nucleotides) under uncultured bacterium. Its description in RNAcentral is "partial 16S ribosomal RNA". It matches the Rfam family "Bacterial small subunit ribosomal RNA", at positions 524 to 776 of the family's 1533-position model. The record is from RNAcentral.
UACAGAGGUGGCAAGCGUUGUUCGGAAUUACUGGGCGUAAAGGGCGCGUAGGCGGCCAUCUAAGUCAGACGUGAAAUCCCCCGGCUUAACCUGGGAACUGCAUCCGAUACUGGAUGGCUUGAAUCCGGGAGAGGGAUGCAGAAUUCCAGGUGUAGCGGUGAAAUGCGUAGAUAUCUGGAGGAAUACCGGUGGCGAAGGCGGCAUCCUGGACCGGCAUUGACGCUGAUGAGCGAAAGCUAGGGGAGCAAACGGG